This 57-nucleotide transfer RNA is filed under the name Trichopria drosophilae. Its description in RNAcentral is "tRNA-Ser". Lineage: Eukaryota; Metazoa; Arthropoda; Insecta; Hymenoptera; Diapriidae. The record is from RNAcentral.
GAAAUAAUUAUUAGAAUUUCUAAUUCUUAAAUUAAAUGAAUAAUCAUUUUUAUUUCU